AUUGAACGCUGGCGGCAGGCUUAACACAUGCAAGUCGAACGAUGAAGAUAUAGCUUGCUAUAUCGGAUUAGUGGCGGACGGGUGAGUAACACUUAGGAAUCUACCUUUUAGCGGGGGAUAGCUCGGGGAAACUCGAAUUAAUACCGCAUAAUUUCUACGGAAUAAAGAGGGCUUUUAGCUCUCACUAGAAGAUGAGCCUAAGUAAGAUUAGCUAGUUGGUGGGGUAAAAGCCUACCAAGGCGACGAUCUUUAGCUGGUCUGAGAGGAUGAUCAGCCACACUGGGACUGAGACACGGCCCAGACUCCUACGGGAGGCAGCAGUGGGGAAUAUUGGACAAUGGGGGCAACCCUGAUCCAGCCAUGCCGCGUGUGUGAAGAAGGCCUUUUGGUUGUAAAGCACUUUAAGCAGUGAAGAAGACCUAUUGGUUAAUACCCAAUAGCGAUGACAUUAACUGCAGAAUAAGCACCGGCUAACUCUGUGCCAGCAGCCGCGGUAAUACAGAGGGUGCAAGCGUUAAUCGGAAUUACUGGGCGUAAAGCGAGCGUAGGUGGUUAAAUAAGUCAGAUGUGAAAGCCCUGGGCUCAACCUAGGAACGGCAUCUGAAACUAUUUAACUAGAGUAGGUGAGAGGGAAGUAGAAUUUCAGGUGUAGCGGUGAAAUGCGUAGAGAUCUGAAGGAAUACCGAUGGCGAAGCAGCUUCCUGGCAUCAUACUGACACUGGCUCGAAAGCGUGGUAGCAAACAGG
Molecule: ribosomal RNA, 746 nt
Filed under: uncultured bacterium
Lineage: Bacteria
Description: bacterial SSU rRNA
Rfam family: Bacterial small subunit ribosomal RNA
Source: RNAcentral